CAGAGCCAUCUGGGAACAUUUUUUAAAAGUCCUGCCCGCAAGAAGAGACAAAAACAUAUCUGGAAAUGCAUUUUCUCACUCAGGAUGCAACCCAUCUAUGCCCUGCAGCCUGACCAAGCAGUGCUGACCACUGCUGGACAAAGAGGCAGGAGUCAGUGACAUCUGUUUUAUUAUGUCAAGGCUGGCAAAUACCUAGCAUGAAUGUUGCUAGUUCCCCACUGUGCCUAUGAUAGACAUCACUAAGGAACUGCACACUCUUCCCAAUCCACCCAAACAGGGCCUCGGAGCCCCCUGAAUAGACUACCACUCCCCAGAAAUCAGAGCUGGCUGGAAAGUGAAGCCCACCUGCCCUCCCUGUCCUCAGCCUCUCUGCACAUUGUGGCAUCACACCAACCUCCAAGGCAAUCCAAAUGAGAACCCUGAGGAAAUAAUGUGCCUCCAAAGCAAAGCAAAUUCCUUCCCUUCUCAAUGAUGCACCUGGAGUUUAGGGGCAAAUGCGUAACAUUGUUAAUUUGGAUAAGGGUCAUAUUAAUAUAUCUGAGCCACCCAACAAGACAAGGCCCUGCACUGGAUGAACUUCCCCAACAGUCUCUCCCAAAUGCCUCAGUCUGAAUUCAUUAUUCCCUUCACACUUGGUUAGGUCCUAUUUGUGCCCAAGUCUAUUAACAGACUGCAAAUUUUUUGCCAGAAACCCUUGAAGCCAGUCCAAGGAUGCAGACAUGCAUUGUUGACAUGAAAGCAAAGAUAAAGCUAUGGAGGCUUACCUCGAAUAUGGCAACUGGGAAGUGAAUCAAUAACAUGGAGGUAACAAGGACUGGGGACAAGCGACCUGAUCUUUAUCACCCUGAAGGGGAAAGGUUCACAUGAAAUGUUUGGUCUUCUGGGCCACACAGGGCUGUCUUGGCUGCACAGCCUGUACUAGGUAAGCAGCAUGUAGGUGCUCACCGGGAACCCACAUCACUCAAACACUGAAGGUGUGUUAGUCCUAAUCUUUAUUUGGCACCCGGAGCUCCCAGGCCCACAAUGUGCAAAGCAGUAGUAUAUUUUAAGAAAGCACUAGACCUCACAACCAACAGCCAUAAGCAAAUGGAAACCGUGGUAGCACAAAGUAAAAUGAAAAAAUAAUGUAUGUUUUACAAGACCUGUAUACCACUGACCAUAGAACCGACAGAACAUUUACUUCUAAGCAGUGGCUCAUCCAUCCUGUAUGACAUGAAAGGGUAUGAAAACCAGGGAACCCACUGAGGAGUCAGCCUCCAGAUACAGUUCAGUGCAGAGGAGGAGGCAGGAGAAACACAUGAGAAGGGGGAAUACACGGUUUGAAAAAUGGUUAAAACUUCAAAGACUGAGCUGAGGGCUUGAGCCAAAUGAAGGAAAGCAGGAUCCAAAGGGCGACUGCCCAGUUCCAUUAAAAAAGCUAUGGAAAGGGCUUGACGGAAAAUUCCUAGUAAGUAUCAGCUAAAACAAAGGCACCUAGUUAGGGUGAACCUAGUGCCAGUGAAAGGCCGAUGGCUCUCAAGCUGAGAGAAUAAAGAGGAUGAGAUAUCCAGAAGUCACCCACUCUCACUUCCUAGAGUUGAAAAGAGCAUUAUAAUUAACAGGCUAUACCCUCAGUAAAAGGUGUUAAGUUCAGCAAAGGGUGCCUACCCUGGGAACUACUCCUAAAUUCUAACCACUAAAAAAAAACUAAUUUUCUAUGUUGUAAACUCUAUGACUUUAUUCUAAUCAUCCAUCGUCAAACCACUGCUAAGACAAGCAACCCUAAAGGUCUUUCUGUUUCUCAAGGGAAUAGCAUUACCAUUUCAAUUAGUCUACAAAGAUCAGCAAUGAGUAACAAAAUAUAGAGAGACUGGCAGUUCUAAUAUGCUUCUCAAUCCUGAGCAUUUUAUUUUCUUUCAUCCCCCAAACCAAACAGCACCAAAGGAGAUGUAAUAACAAAUAUUUCAAUGUGGAUAUCUGCAGUUUAACAGCCUUAAUAACUGUAGCUAUAAAAUGUUAAGAGCUAUCGUAUUUUGGUGGCAAUUAAGAGUUAUUGAUAUUUCUGAAAUUCAUUUGAGAUUUCACUGUAGCUUUAGCAAAAUAUUGGCUCUGGAAAUAAUAAAUUGUUUUACAAUCUUAACAUUAUUAAGAAAAACUUAUUGCCAUCAAAUUAACUAAACCCACAUUUAAAAUUCAAUCAAAAUAAAUUGCUCUUGAUCAAAAUACUGAUAUAUUUUAAACAUAUUUAAUAUUGACCCAAUUUAAUUGGAAAAAUAUAUAUUGCUCCAUUUAUAAUCAAUAUGUUGAGAUUAACACUUUUAUUAAUUCCUUGCAGUAGUUAAGAAAAAGUCUGACACCGCUCACUGUUCAAGAGUACUGGGCAACAUUCCUCAAACAACUUCACAGGUAAUAAACGUGCACAGAAACGAAAGCUGUGCUGAGGGAUGACAAAUAUAAGCCAGCCCUCAUCUGUGCAUUACUACAUAAGGUGCUACUAGAAUGUGAGUGCCGCAACUCUAAAGAACAGGAUUUAAGUCACAGGUCCUCAAAUUACUGUUUAAAAGAAUUGACACAUCUAUUUCGGAAAGGUUAUGGAAUGUCUGUAGUGUCUGGACGGGGGUUAAUGAGCAGUUCUAAGUAACAAGAAAAAACACCAGGUCAACCUUCACUCACAAAGGCCAAUAAAUACAACAAACUAGGUCUCUUCACCUUGAGAAAUAAGAAAAAACUGUUGAGGAUUGGGAAAAAGCCAUCCCACUAUCAAGUAUUUUAAAAGUAAUAAGGUUCCUUUUUCCCUUUGACUUCCUUAGAGCUAAGUGAGCUCUAAGUCAAGGAGACUUGAAAUGCGCGGCAGUAGCACAGUGUUCAGUGGGCCACCAUGGGGAGGCCUGCAAUACAGAUUAUUUUUCCUGGCUCUCAGAAAACGUGUGGCAAUAUGCAAUUCAGACUUCAUGUUUCACAUGUUCACCUUCCCUUUUAUGGUGCUUGCUUUAUACAAUGACAAUGUCAUGGAGCUAAAAGCCAAAGUCAGUCUCUAACAUAAAAAACAACAGUGAAAAGAAAGGUAUGCUGUGCAUACAAAGUACACUUUUUGCAUGAUGGUGGCUUAUAAUUAUGCAGAUGACUAUUUUCUCAAGACAAAGGAAGGAUUUACAAAAGCAAGCUUAUUCUUUCUAUGCCAAAGCUUAAGUUUCAGCUCUUUUUUGAAGAAAAGUUCUCUAAAAUUACUUUCCUGCUUCAAAAGGGAAAACAGAAACCCCUAUCCAGUAUGCAUUAAUUCACCCUUUUCUUUUUCCUGAUACUCAUUCUAGGGUGACUGUCGGUAUAAAGGCGACACAGCUCACACUCAGCCCUCUGUAUGCCUCUUGCCCCAGCCUUCCCUUAAGUUUUUCAUCUUAGACUUGCCUCCAAAUCCAACUAAAGACCUAGAAGUACAUGCAUUUGGGGCCAGCAUCAUUAAGGACUCAGGGGCCCCACUGCUUCUAGCAGGUUAAGGCUGCAGAAAUCCAACCUCUGUAUAAUCGGGGGGGUCUAAUAUAUUAAGCUGGAUCUAGAAUGCUUACAUAUUAAUAAACCUGUCACCUAAGAUAAAGCAAACAGUACAAUGUAUUUAUAAUCCC
RNAcentral lists this long non-coding RNA (3599 nucleotides) under Homo sapiens (human). RNAcentral's name for it is "HSALNT0162545". Lineage: Eukaryota; Metazoa; Chordata; Mammalia; Primates; Hominidae. The record is from RNAcentral.